CUGCCUCUCUCGCUCGCUCUGCCUCUAUCGCUCGCUCUGCCUCUAUCGCUCGCUCUGCCUCUCUCUCGCUCGCUCUGCCUCUCUCUCGCUCGCUCUGCCUCUCUCUCUCUCUCAUACACAGCUGUCUCACACAGUGCUCUCUCUUUCCCUCAUAUUUGCUCACAGAGACUUAGCGGCCUCUGUUUCUUUCACACUUUAUGAUAUUCUUUCUCUUUCUUUUACGCCUCUCUUGUAGACACACACACACACACACACACACACACACACACACACACACACACACACACACACACACACACACACACACACACACACACACACACACACACACACACACACACACACACACACACACACACACACACACACACACACAGACACACACCCACACACAGACACACACACACACUGACAGACAGACACGCACAGAUACGCACACACACGCACAGAUACACAGACACGCACACACAGAUACACACGCACGCACACACACACGCACGCACACAUACACACAGACACGCACACAUACACACACACACACACAGAUACACACGCACGCACACAUACAGACACACACACACAGACACACACACAGAUACACACACACACACGUUGAGGUACGGCCUAUAUGAAUUGCAGCUUCUUUUGAAGCACAUGUUGAGCCCCAGAAACGAACAUGUACCACUGUAAAUACCUUGGUUUAUUAUCGAGGAAGAAUACCUGUGUGGAACAUUAGGCUUCUUUCUACAUUAUGCAAAGGCACGAUUGACACAUUUACAGUGAAAAUUGUACACUGUCUCUUUAAAAAACAAACGUCAGGUUUGUGAUGAUGUCAUGCCAGAGAUCUGUCAUUCAUUCAUUGCUAUGAUCAUUGAGCUCCUGAAGGAGCUACAUUUAUAUCUGUGCCCCCCUUCCAAAAUGUUUGGAUAUACUGUUGUUAUAGUUACCAUCUAGCCAAUGAGGUAACGUGACCGAACGAAGUCUAAAUAAAUGGUUGUCGACGUGCAAGUCGUUUUAGAACGGCCCACGACCGGGUCUAUGAAUAUAACAUGCGAUCCGUCCGAGGAAGCUUAAAAUGGUGCGUUGGUAAUAUGGGUCAGAUCUAGUGUUGGUCCGGGGUAGUGUUGGUCGGGGUAGUGUUGGUCCAGGGUAGUGUUGGUCCAGGGUAGUGUUGGUCCAGGGUAGUGUUGGUCCAGGGUAGUGUUGGUCCAGGGUAGUGUUGGUCCAGGGUAGUGUUGGUCCAGGGUAGUGUUGGUCCGGGGUAGUGUUGGUCCGGGGUAGUGUUGGUCCGGGGUAGUGUUGGUCCGGGGUAGUGUUGGUCCGGGGUAGUGUUGGUCCGGGGUAGUGUUGGUCCGGGGUAGUGUUGGUCCAGGGUAGUGUUGGUCGGGGUAGUGUUGGUCCGAGGUAGUGUUGGUCCAGGGUAGUGUUGGUCCAGGGUAGUGUUGGUCCAGGGUAGUGUGGGUCGGCGGUAGUGUUGGUCGGCGGUAGUGUUGAUCCAGGGUAGUGUUGGUCCAGGGUAGUGUUGGUCCAGGGUAGUGUUGGUCCAGGGUAGUGUUGGUCCAGGGUAGUGUUGGUCCAGGGUAGUGUUGGUCCAGGGUAGUGUUGGUCCAGGGUAGUGUUGGUCCAGGGUAGUGUUGGUCCAGGGUAGUGUGGGUCGGCGGUAGUGUUGGUCCAGGGUAGUGUGGGUCGGCGGUAGUGUUGGUCCAGGGUAGUGUUGGUCCAGGGUAGUGUUGGUCCAGGGUAGUGUUGGUCGGCGGUAGUGUUGGUCUGAAAGGAGAAGCUCACGCUCUGGAGCUCUGUGUGUUGGCGGAAAGGAGAAGCUCGCCCUCUGGAGCCCUGUGUGUUGGCGGAAUGGAGAAGCUCGCGUUCUGGAGCCCUGUGUGUUGGCUGAAAGGAGAAGCUCGCGCUCUGGAGCUCUGUGUGUUGGCGGAAAGGAGAAGCUCGCCCUCUGGAGCCCUGUGUGUUGGCGGAAUGGAGAAGCUCGCGUUCUGGAGCCCUGUGUGUUGGCUGAAAGGAGAAGCUCGCGCUCUGGAGCCCUGUGUGUUGGCUGAAAGGAGAAGCUCGCGCUCUGGAGCUCUGUGUGUUGGCGGAAAGGAGAAGCUCGCCCUCUGGAGCCCUGUGUGUUGGCGGAAUGGAGAAGCUCGCGCUCUGGAGCCCUGUGUGUUGGCUGAAAGGAGAAGCUCGCGCUCUGGAGCCCUGUGUGUUUUAUUAAGAUUUCAAAUAACACACCGGUAGACGGUCUGUGUAUCACAUGACCUGACCUUACCACCUGUCCUACAGCCAAGUAGGGCGUUUACCCUCCCAAAGUGUCUCAUUUUAACAUUCGAAACCACCUCACAAACCCAUAUUUACUUGGUUCAGUCCUGGACCUCUCGCUGUGUCUCAGAACAUUCCAUUUGACAUUAAAGGGGUUUGUUUGUUUAUUAAAUUCCCACCCCAAACAUCAUGGGAGUACCUUUUUUUUAUAUAGUUGUUUGGAUGUUCAUUUGGAAAUGUUCAUUUGCACUUUUGCAAAUUUUAAAAGCCAUUAUAACGAAGUCUUUGCGUCCCAAAUGUCUUCCUAUUCCCGAUAUAACGUACUACUUUCAACCCAGAGUAGAUUAUAGUAGUAGUACACUAUGUAGGGGAAACGGUGCCAACCAAUGACGUGUGUCAACCCUGGAUUGCUGAUGUUCUGUCGAGGCCGAUGAGAGGCUUUGAAGAAGCAUUCCCCCAAUACGAAUGGAAUUCUAGAUUAUUUCAAUAAAAUGUUGCUAGGACAAUAUUACAUGUGUUUUAAGUAUGUAUUUGUUGUCAUGGGGACAGUAACAUUAGUAUAAAAAAAUAUAUAUUUAAGACUAUUUUUUUGCAAUUUUUUAUUUUUAUGUUCACAGGUAAUUUAACAGUCUGCAUUAAGGUGUCUUUCAUAUAAUAAUAAUAAUAAUAUAAUAUAUAAUUAUAUAAUAAUAUAACUUGGCAAAAACACAAGUAGACGUUAAUAAAUAGCUUCCAAUGGAUGGGGACCAUGAAGAUGGCUGUGUGGUGGCUUCAAUGGAGGGGGACCAUGAAGAUGGCUGUGUGGUGGCUUCAAUGGAGGGGGACCAUGAAGAUGGCUGUGUGGUGGCUUCAAUGGAGGGGGACCAUGAAGAUGGCUGUGUGGUGGCUUCAAUGGAGGGGGACCAUGAAGAUGGCUGUGUGGUGGCUUCAAUGGAGGGGGACCAUGAAGAUGGCUGUGUGGUGGCUUCAAUGGAUGGGGACCAUGAAGAUGGCUGUG
This is a long non-coding RNA of Oncorhynchus keta (chum salmon), 3253 nucleotides long. RefSeq lists it as uncharacterized. The record is from RefSeq and is a predicted model, not a curated record. The transcript has 3 exons. NCBI's taxonomy places the organism in Eukaryota, Metazoa, Chordata, Actinopteri, Salmoniformes, Salmonidae.